RNAcentral lists this ribosomal RNA (445 nucleotides) under uncultured bacterium. Its description in RNAcentral is "partial 16S ribosomal RNA". It matches the Rfam family "Bacterial small subunit ribosomal RNA", at positions 354 to 796 of the family's 1533-position model. The record is from RNAcentral.
GUGAGGAAUAUUGGUCAAUGGGCGGGAGCCUGAACCAGCCAAGUCGCGUGAAGGAAGAAGGAUCUAUGGUUCGUAAACUUCUUUUGCAGGGGAAUAAAGUGCAGGACGUGUCCUGUUUUGUAUGUACCCUGAGAAUAAGGAUCGGCUAACUCCGUGCCAGCAGCCGCGGUAAUACGGAGUAUCCGAGCGUUAUCCGGAUUUAUAGGGUUUAAAGGGUGCGUAGGUGGUUUGAUAAGUCAGCGGUGAAAGUUUGCAGCUUAACUGUAAAAAUGCCGUUGAAACUGUCGGACUUGAGUGUAAAUGAGGUAGGCGGAAUGCGUGGUGUAGCGGUGAAAUGCAUAGAUAUCACGCAGAACUCCGAUUGCGAAGGCAGCUUACUAAGCUACAACUGACACUGAAGCACGAAAGCGUGGGGAUCAAACAGGAUUAGAUACCCUAGUAGUCC